RNAcentral lists this ribosomal RNA (76 nucleotides) under Hydrogenophaga sp. The record is from RNAcentral. Lineage: Bacteria; Pseudomonadati; Pseudomonadota; Betaproteobacteria; Burkholderiales; Comamonadaceae.
UUAGGUGACUAUUGCGGCGGGGUUCCACCUCUUCCCAUUCCGAACAGAGAAGUUAAGACCGCCAGCGCCGAUGGUA